This 68-nucleotide ribosomal RNA is filed under the name uncultured Ceratobasidium. RNAcentral's name for it is "partial 18S ribosomal RNA". Lineage: Eukaryota; Fungi; Basidiomycota; Agaricomycetes; Cantharellales; Ceratobasidiaceae. The record is from RNAcentral.
UCCGUAGGUGAACCUGCGGAAGGAUCAUUAUUGAAUGAACAUGGAGUUUGGUUGUCGCUGGCCCCUUC